Molecule: long non-coding RNA, 774 nt
Organism: Liolophura sinensis
Lineage: Eukaryota; Metazoa; Mollusca; Polyplacophora; Chitonida; Chitonidae
Exons: 3
Source: RefSeq, a predicted model, not a curated record
UUUGACAUAUUCAAAGCCAAGAUCUGAAGUAGUAAUCUUAUUCAGUGACAUAUUUUAAAUCUUUGAAAUAAGUUAUAAGAUUUAUGUCAGGUUUGACUUCUGAGUUUUCUGAAGGUCUUUGUUUAACAUUUCAGGCAAUGGAGGAGUGUUCACAUCAAUUAAAUUCUGCAAAAGAGAUUUCCUUUUGGAGUAUGUCUUUGAAAGGCUGGCAAAACGGAAGCUGAGGAAAGGGAAAAAUUCCAUAGACAAGAAUGUGGGGUCCUAGCUGGAUUUUUUUCCCUUUCAGUGGAAAAGCGGAAUGACGACAGCUGCAAUAUGGAGACAAGGCAACAUAUGGCUGCAUCCCAUCAACGUCAGAAAGAAAACCGAGCUUAUCAUCCAACAGACUGAGUUUAUCAUAGAUGGAAGGAAAGUGAAGAAGGGAUUGUCAGGGCUCACUUCAAUGUUAUAUGGGUGACAAUUAAAAAGGAUUCCCAGGAAAGAGAGAAAUCGACGUUUUUCUGAAGGAUAAUCUGUUUGUCUCAUUUCCUGUCAAACCAUCAAGCCAAGGUUAUGAAUGAGAAAUAUAAGCACAGAGUAAAGGUAAAAAUAUAACUUUUUGUAGUUAACCUAGUCACUAGGUUCACAAAGCUUCACUAUACUGGCCUUUCUGAGUUGGCUCAUCUGACAUCAUGAUGGCAGUACUUAAGAUUUUCUCGGAGUGUGCGUGCUACUUAAUUUGAACUGCGAUAUCUCGGUAAUUACUCAUCAUAAAUAAAGAGACAAGGUUUUUAA